Molecule: microRNA precursor, 103 nt
Filed under: Marmota monax (woodchuck)
Lineage: Eukaryota; Metazoa; Chordata; Mammalia; Rodentia; Sciuridae
Source: RNAcentral
AGAGGGAUAGCUGGGUCAAAUGCUGUUUCCAUUCCCAGAUUUCCAAGGAAUUUCCAUACUGCUUUCCAUAUUGGCUGCACCAAUUUGCAGUCCCACCAGCAAU